UAAAAUUUAAAAUAGGAUUAGAAACCCUAGUAUAUUUAAAACUAUUAAGGUAGUAUUUUUAAAAGAAACCUAUUUAUUAUGGCGGCAAUUCUUCUAAUUAGAGGAACUUGUUCACUAAUCGAUAAUCCACGAUAAUUUUCACUUUAAUUUAAAGUUUAUAUACCGUCAUUAUAAGAAUUAAUUAUAAAAUUUUUAUUCAAAAUAACUUAUAAUAAAUUAGAUCAAGGUGUAGCCAAAAUAAAAGUAACCAAUGAGUUACUUUAAAUAAAAUUUAAGAAUUAGAUUUAAUAAAAUUUUAUGAAAAAGGAUUUAUAAGUAACAAUAAAAUAAUAAUUCAUUUUGAAUUAGAUAAUAAAUGUGCACAUAUCGCCCGUCACCCUUAUUAUACUAUAAGGUAAGUCGUAACAUAGUUAAUGUUUUGGAAAAAGCAUUAA
Molecule: ribosomal RNA, 434 nt
Filed under: Araneae sp. MT-2014
Lineage: Eukaryota; Metazoa; Arthropoda; Arachnida; Araneae
Description: 12S ribosomal RNA
Source: RNAcentral